This 75-nucleotide transfer RNA is filed under the name Nocardioides sp. LS1. RNAcentral describes it as "tRNA-Leu". It matches the Rfam family "tRNA". Rfam says of the family: Transfer RNA (tRNA) molecules are approximately 80 nucleotides in length. Their secondary structure includes four short double-helical elements and three loops (D, anti-codon, and T loops). The record is from RNAcentral. Lineage: Bacteria; Bacillati; Actinomycetota; Actinomycetes; Propionibacteriales; Nocardioidaceae.
GCCCCCGUAUCCCAAUCGGCAGAGGAAGUCGCCUUAAAAGCGACCGAGUGUGGGUUCGAGUCCCACCGGGGGCAC